UGUUCAUAUUGGGUAGGGGAGCGUUCUGUAAGCCGUUGAAGGUGCAUUGUAAAGUGUGCUGGAGGUAUCAGAAGUGCGAAUGCUGACAUGAGUAACGAUAAAGGGAGUGAAAAACUCCCUCGCCGGAAGAUCAAGGGUUCCUGUCCAACGUUAAUCGGGGCAGGGUAAGUCGACCCCUAAGGCGAGGCCGAAAGGCGUAGUCGAUGGGAAACGGGUUAAUAUUCCCGUACUUCUUAUAAUUGCGAUGGAGGGACGGAGAAGGCUAGGUGAGCCUGGCGACGGUUGUCCAGGUCCAAGUAUGUAGGCUGAUGGUUUAGGCAAAUCCGGACCAUCUUAAGGCUGAGAUACGAUGUCGAGCUACUACGGUAGUGAAGUCAUUGAUGCCAUGCUUCCGGGAAAAGCUUCUAAGCUUCAGAUUAUAAGAAAUCGUACCCCAAACCGACACAGGUGAUCAGGUAGAGAAUACCAAGGCGCUUGAGAGAACUCGGGUGAAGGAACUAGGCAAAAUGGUACCGUAACUUCGGGAGAAGGUACGCUCCUAGCGGUGAUGAGACUUGCUCUCUAAGCUGCCGGGAGUCGCAGAUACCAGGUGGCUGCAACUGUUUAUUAAAAACACAGCACUGUGCAAAAUCGAAAGAUGACGUAUACGGUGUGACGCCUGCCCGGUGCCGGAAGGUUAAUUGAUGGGGUUAGACUUCGGUCGAAGCUCUUGAUCGAAGCCCCGGUAAACGGCGGCCGUAACUAUAACGGUCCUAAGGUAGCGAAAUUCCUUGUCGGGUAAGUUCCGACCUGCACGAAUGGCGUAAUGAUGGCCACGCUGUCUCCACCCGAGACUCAGUGAAAUUGAAAUCGCAGUGAAGAUGCUGUGUACCCGCGGCUAGACGGAAAGACCCCGUGAACCUUUACUAUAGCUUGGCACUGAACAUUGACCCUACAUGUGUAGGAUAGGUGGGAGACGUUGAAGCAACCGCGCCAGUGGUUGUGGAGUCAAUCUUGAAAUACCACCCUUGUAUGCUUGAUGUUCUAACGUUGGCCCCUUAUCGGGGUUACGGACAGUGCCUGGUGGGUAGUUUGACUGGGGCGGUCUCCUCCCAAAGAGUAACGGAGGAGCACGAAGGUGGGCUAAUCACGGUCGGACAUCGUGAGGUUAGUGCAAUGGCAUAAGCCCGCUUGACUGCGAGAAUGACAAUUCGAGCAGGUGCGAAAGCAGGUCAUAGUGAUCCGGUGGUUCUGAAUGGAAGGGCCAUCGCUCAACGGAUAAAAGGUACUCCGGGGAUAACAGGCUGAUACCGCCCAAGAGUUCAUAUCGACGGCGGUGUUUGGCACCUCGAUGUCGGCUCAUCACAUCCUGGGGCUGAAGUCGGUCCCAAGGGUAUGGCUGUUCGCCAUUUAAAGUGGUACGCGAGCUGGGUUUAGAACGUCGUGAGACAGUUCGGUCCCUAUCUGCCGUGGGCGUUGGAUGAUUGAGAGGGGCUGCUCCUAGUACGAGAGGACCGGAGUGGACGAACCGCUGGUGUUCGGGUUGUAUCGCCAGAUGCAUUGCCCGGUAGCUAAGUUCGGAAUCGAUAACCGCUGAAAGCAUCUAAGCGGGAAGCGAGCCUCAAGAUGAGUCAUCCCUAGACCUUUAAGGUCUCUAAAGGGUUGUUGAAGACUACAACGUUGAUAGGUCAGGUGUGUAAGUGCUGCGAGGCAUUGAGCUAACUGAUACUAAUUGCCCGUGAGGCUUAACCAUACAACACCCAAGGGGUUU
Molecule: ribosomal RNA, 1750 nt
Filed under: Photobacterium phosphoreum
Lineage: Bacteria; Pseudomonadati; Pseudomonadota; Gammaproteobacteria; Vibrionales; Vibrionaceae
Description: bacterial LSU rRNA
Rfam family: Bacterial large subunit ribosomal RNA
Source: RNAcentral